UGGGUUACACUAAUGACUGGACCGAAUGACAGGACCAAAUGAAAAAUGCUAAUAACUUUUUCAUUUCUCAAAGGAUUGAUCUGAAAUUUGAAAUAUAAUAAGAUUUCAUCAUUUGAUAAAUAGAUUUAAGAAAAAAAAUUAAAAGUUUUGUAAGAAACUUUAGAAAAUGUGACAUGACCAACUUUGAUAAUGACAGGACCAACAUCGAGAAUGACAGGAC
Molecule: long non-coding RNA, 220 nt
Filed under: Mytilus galloprovincialis (Mediterranean mussel)
Lineage: Eukaryota; Metazoa; Mollusca; Bivalvia; Mytilida; Mytilidae
Source: RNAcentral